Molecule: ribosomal RNA, 399 nt
Filed under: uncultured Clostridium sp.
Lineage: Bacteria; Bacillati; Bacillota; Clostridia; Eubacteriales; Clostridiaceae
Description: bacterial SSU rRNA
Rfam family: Bacterial small subunit ribosomal RNA
Source: RNAcentral
GGAAUAUUGCACAAUGGGCGAAAGCCUGAUGCAGCAACGCCGCGUGAGUGAUGAAGGUCUUCGGAUUGUAAAGCUCUGUCUUUUGGGACGAUAAUGACGGUACCAAAGGAGGAAGCCACGGCUAACUACGUGCCAGCAGCCGCGGUAAUACGUAGGUGGCGAGCGUUGUCCGGAUUUACUGGGCGUAAAGGGUGCGUAGGCGGAUGUUUAAGUGAGAUGUGAAAUACCCGGGCUUAACUUGGGUGCUGCAUUUCAAACUGGAUAUCUAGAGUGCAGGAGAGGAGAAUGGAAUUCCUAGUGUAGCGGUGAAAUGCGUAGAGAUUAGGAAGAACACCAGUGGCGAAGGCGAUUCUCUGGACUGUAACUGACGCUGAGGCACGAAAGCGUGGGUAGCAAACA